Lagopus leucura (white-tailed ptarmigan) is the source of this 243-nucleotide long non-coding RNA. RefSeq lists it as uncharacterized. The transcript is spliced from 3 exons. The record is from RefSeq and is a predicted model, not a curated record. NCBI's taxonomy places the organism in Eukaryota, Metazoa, Chordata, Aves, Galliformes, Phasianidae.
AGCUACUGCUAGAAAGCAAGUCAGAUUCUGCUUACAUUGGCAGCGGAUGCACUGAAGGACAUCAGGGAAACUCCAAGUCUAGAAAGAUGCCCCACCUUGUGUCAUUUUGAACUUGAAUUUUGAAGAUACUGAGAACCAACAGCAACUCUUAUAAACUUCAUCAACAGCUGGGAGGAUCCAUCUUACGGUGGAAGAGAAACAAAGAUUCAGACCGGACAUUGCGUUUCAGCCUCCAAAACACGA